RNAcentral lists this ribosomal RNA (478 nucleotides) under uncultured bacterium. RNAcentral describes it as "partial 16S ribosomal RNA". It matches the Rfam family "Bacterial small subunit ribosomal RNA", at positions 28 to 523 of the family's 1533-position model. The record is from RNAcentral.
GACGAACGCUGGCGGCGUGCUUAACACAUGCAAGUCGAACGGUAAGGCCCUUCGGGGUACACGAGUGGCGAACGGGUGAGUAACACGUGGGUGAUCUGCCCUGCACUUCGGGAUAAGCCUGGGAAACUGGGUCUAAUACCGGAUAGGACCCUGGGAUGCAUGUCCUGGGGUGGAAAGCUUUUGCGGUGUGGGAUGGGCCCGCGGCCUAUCAGCUUGUUGGUGGGGUGAUGGCCUACCAAGGCGACGACGGGUAGCCGGCCUGAGAGGGUGACCGGCCACACUGGGACUGAGAUACGGCCCAGACUCCUACGGGAGGCAGCAGUGGGGAAUAUUGCACAAUGGGCGCAAGCCUGAUGCAGCGACGCCGCGUGAGGGAUGACGGCCUUCGGGUUGUAAACCUCUUUCAGCACAGACGAAGCGCAAGUGACGGUAUGUGCAGAAGAAGGACCUGCCAACUACGUGCCAGCCGCCGCAGUAA